RNAcentral lists this ribosomal RNA (494 nucleotides) under uncultured bacterium. RNAcentral describes it as "partial 16S ribosomal RNA". It matches the Rfam family "Bacterial small subunit ribosomal RNA", at positions 28 to 507 of the family's 1533-position model. The record is from RNAcentral.
GACGAACGCUGGCGGCGCGCUUAACACAUGCAAGUCGAACGGAAAGGCCUGCUUUCCCUUGUGGAUUGCGGGUACUCGAGUGGCGAACGGGUGAGUAACACGUGAGUGAUCUGCCCCCAACUUGGGUAUAAGCCUGGGAAACUGGGUCUAAUUCCCGAUAGGACUGCAGGGUGGUGCCUGUGGUGGAAAACGAUUUUCUAGUGGUUGGGGAUGAGCUCGCGGCCUAUCAGCUUGUUGGUGGGGUAAUGGCCUACCAAGGCGGCGACGGGUAGCCGGCCUGGGAGGGUGGACCGCCACAGUGGGACUGAGAUACUGCUCAGAAUCCGAAGGGAGGCAGCAGUGGGGAAUAAUGCACAAUGGGCGGAAGCCUGAGGCAGCGACGCCGCGUGGGGGAUGACGGCCUUCGGGUUGUAAGCUCCUUUCGACCGCGAGGAAGCCACCUGGUUGGAAGGGUGGUGACGGUAGUGGUAGAAGAAGCACCGGCUAACUACGUG